This 28-nucleotide non-coding RNA is filed under the name Bombyx mori (domestic silkworm). The record is from RNAcentral. Lineage: Eukaryota; Metazoa; Arthropoda; Insecta; Lepidoptera; Bombycidae.
UACGCUACUAAACUGUGUCGCUACAUAU